RNAcentral lists this unclassified non-coding RNA (1288 nucleotides) under Hevea brasiliensis (rubber tree). Lineage: Eukaryota; Viridiplantae; Streptophyta; Magnoliopsida; Malpighiales; Euphorbiaceae. The record is from RNAcentral.
CGUUGUUUCACUUCUGAAGAGCCAAAGCAUCAGAGUAAAUGGCUGCACUGGGCUGAAUACUGGUUUAAUACCAGUUUUCAUACUGCCAUAGGAAUGACACCAUUUGAGAUAGUUUUUGGUCGUUCUCCUCCCACUAUUUCUAAGUUUAUACCAGGCAAAACAAAAGUGGAGGCAGUGGAUCAAGAAUUAUUAGACUGAGAUGAAAUGUUGAGGCAACUACAUUAUAAUCUCUAGAAAGCACAGCAGAAAAUGGUAAAGACUACUAAUACUCAUCAAAGGGAUGAACAAUUUCAAGUUGGUGACUCUGUCUUUCUCAAGUUCAGGCCCCAUCGGCUGCUUUCAAUUUAUUCCAAAGUGAUGCCAAAACUAGCAGCAAGAUAUUAUGGACCUUCCAAAAUAAUUGGAAAGGUUGGACCAGUGGCAUAUAAACUACAACUUCCAGUUGAAGCUUGUAUUCACCUUGUUUUUCAUGUAUCCCAAUUAAAGAAGGUAGUAGGUAAUCAUGAUGUUAUUGCAGAAAUACCUCAUGAUAUGGCAGUGGAUGAACCUAUGAUAGAGCCUGAAGCCAUUUUACAACACCGAAUGAUUCAAAGGUCCACCGCUCUUGUUCCUCAAAUUUUAGUCCAUUGGAAGGGUAAGUCGAGGGAAAAUGCUACCUUGGUUGAUUUUCGUAAUCAAUUUCCAACAUUCAGCCUCAAGGAGAAGGCUGUGCUUCAAGGAGAUGGCAAUGAUAUGACAGGGUUGAAUCAACAAGGCUAUAAGACUGGUAAUGGGCCUGGACAACUCAGAGUUUAUACAAGGAGAAAAAUAAGAAGAAAUGGAGCUGAGGUUUUAGAGAAUUCAGGAGGUGCUGCCUUGGAUAACAGAAUGAUAACCGUUGUUUACGAAGAGCAUUCUGGAAGUACUGACGUGGAUAACAAAUUGGUGCUCUUUUCAUGUGCUGCUGAAAGCUACAAGUAACCAUCCAUGAGAGAGGGAAGGCAUGCUAGUGAUCUUGUAUUCGGCUUAAUGCUGGGCCUGAGUAUUUCUUUUGGGAAUUCUCUGGUGUAAUUUUGUUUUUGUAAUAGCCAUUACUAGUUGAACUAAGUUGUAUUGUUGUUUUUUCACUUCUUCAAAAUAAUACCACAUUGCCCUCCUCUCCAUUUCUUUGUGUUUCGCUCUGCUCAUUUAUUUUUUUAUUCGUUCUUAACUCUAUCAAAUUGGUUCGAUCUGCCUGAUGCCAAACACAAGAAUGGAUUCACGGGUUGUCGGGUUGACACAAUAGAGAGGGAGCAUGUCCGCAUUGGAA